RNAcentral lists this long non-coding RNA (522 nucleotides) under Panax ginseng (ginseng). Its description in RNAcentral is "long non-coding RNA (PGIN_LNC012766)". The record is from RNAcentral. Lineage: Eukaryota; Viridiplantae; Streptophyta; Magnoliopsida; Apiales; Araliaceae.
UUUAGAACAUUGUUGUUUUUACAUAGUACAAAAAAGUAAUCUAUGGUUUUACAUGGUACAAAAAGUUAGAUAAAUCAAAAUCAAAAUCAAUAAUAUUACUAUACUCUCUCACUGAGCUCACACGUGCAAAAUUGAUAGGCAAAACUAUAACAACUAGAUGUCACAAGUCACAAUCUACUUCCCCUUUAAGACUUUAACCUCCUCUGUUCCCUCCUAUUGAGCUUCAUAUAACAGAGGAAUUCAUCUAAUAAUUAGCAAUUCCAUCUUGAAAUAUUUCGAGGAAAUGACUAAGACUACUUUUUAUUCGAUCUGGAACCAUGUCCGUCCUUGCUUCUUUUCUUCUCACUCCUCUGGCUUUCUUUUGGUUUCCCAUGCUUUUCAACUUUAGUUCUAUUGAAUUUUACACUAACAAGACCACCUGAAGGUAUCUUCCCACCACUAUUCUUCAACACACUCUCAAAAUCAACUUCGUUAUCUACAAUGGCAUACCAUUUGAGGAGCUCAGGAUCUAACAUGUUAUCC